Molecule: ribosomal RNA, 575 nt
Filed under: Pichia kluyveri
Lineage: Eukaryota; Fungi; Ascomycota; Pichiomycetes; Pichiales; Pichiaceae
Description: partial large subunit ribosomal RNA
Rfam family: Eukaryotic large subunit ribosomal RNA
Source: RNAcentral
GGUCAGUAGCGGCGAGUGAGCGGCAAGAGCUCAGAUUUGAAAUCUCACCUAGUGUGCGAGUUGUAAAUUGCAGGUUGGAGUCUCGGGUUAGACGUGUGUGCAAGUCCCUUGGAACAGGGUGCCACUGAGGGUGAGAGCCCCGUAGCGUGCAUGUCGACACCUGUGAGGCCCUUCUGACUAGUCGAGUUGUUUGGGAAUGCAGCUCUAAGUGGGUGGUAAAUUCCAUCUAAGGCUAAAUAUUGGCGAGAGACCGAUAGCGAACAAGUACUGUGAAGGAAAGAUGAAAAGCACUUUGAAAAGAGAGUGAAACAGCACGUGAAAUUGUUGAAAGGGAAGGGUAUUGGGCUCGACAUGGGAUUUACGCAUCGUUGCCUCUCGUGGGCGGCGCUCUGGGUUUUUCCUGGGCCAGCAUCGGUUUUCGUUGCAGGAUAAGGACAAUUGGAAUGUGGCUCCUCGGAGUGUUAUAGCCUUUUGUAGAUGCUGCGUAUGGGGACCGAGGGCUGCGGCGGACUCGUUUCGUCUCGGAUGCUGGCACAACGGCGCAAUACCGCCCGUCUUGAAACACAGGACACAAA